AUGUGUUCACCUGAAGAAACAGCGACAUCCCCCUUGCCUGAUGUGCCUGUGGUGCAGCACAGAGGACGCAGGCUGCAAGGAAGGCGUUCUCCUCGCUUUGCAGUUUCAGGUCACUGUGGAAAGCACACAGCACCUGCCUCGAGGGAUCACUCCAGACUUUGUUCCUCGGUGCUUCCCAGCGGCACCAGCCGUGAGGGACACGGCUGCUGUCAGCAUCGCUGCUCCCAUGGGGAAGAGUUCACUGGAGGCGGCUGUCCCCGGGGAGCUGCAGCCGCUGGUGCUGCAGCUGCACGCGAACGGGGCUCCAGUAGCAAGCAGGCAUUUGUGAGUCAGUGAGAGUGUCAGAGGCAGGGAGCAGGUAGAUCGCAAGAAAAUAGGAGCUGCAGAGCUUUAAGGACRGACAGGAGAGGAUGAACAGCGUUUGGGUGAAUUUAGCUUGUGCCCGUACUGCUGAGCAGCUGCCUUAGCAGCUUGAGUUUUAACCUGCCUCUACUCCUUGGGCAGUUAUUGGAGGGUUACACACCACCAAUUUUAGGUAAGAAAUGUUGGUGUGUGAAGAGGAAUUCAGUUAUGGACAGCAGCCAGCGGUGACUUGAGCGCGGUGAGGAUAAGGCCGGUUUUAAAGCCAUACUGCCUGGGAUUGUAUCCCUGCAUGGCAGCUCUGCCUUUCCACCUCCCUGAGCCCUUCAUAGCCCUGCCAAAGCCAUAGGGCACAGCCUUAGGGGCAGAGCUGCUUUCUUCUACAUGCAGCAGCUUGGACACAAMCUAUUUCUUGGGGUGCAGCCCCAGCUGGGGCGAUGCCACGCUCAUGUCAGCCCUGAGGCCGAGGAGGCUGCUUUCUUGAUCAAACCCAGCAUUUUGCACUCACUUCUAGGCUACCRAAGGAUCUGUAGGAAGCGGGAGUGUGCACCGGCCCACACUACCAGCACAGCACAGCCGACACGUUAGUCUGCAGAGGUCAAAUAUGACACGAGCCAGGACAGAUGCCUGUCACUUGUUGCUGGAAGCAGCCUACAGAUCCCAGRAAAGGCCUUGAUGGCUCUGGAGACGAAGGACGUGUUUCUGAUUAGCUCAGGUCCCCCGUGCUACCAGCAGUAAGGGCAAKGCCGGGGCUCAUGCUUCUCCCCCUGAGGACGCACAUCCUCAAGUCAUCAUAAAAUAAUGAAAAAGCCAGUGACAGAUUUCRAUAAAAUGCAGUGUAGCAGUUCCUUCACGUAGUGUUUUAAAUUUGGGCGUUGAUAAUGAAGGACGUGGUAAAAAUCUGUGUUUAGAUUUAYAUUAUACUUAGACCUCCACCAGGCUGCCAUUCUCUGAGAAAUACCGGAGUUGGAGUAAA
Molecule: long non-coding RNA, 1336 nt
Filed under: Apteryx haastii (Great spotted kiwi)
Lineage: Eukaryota; Metazoa; Chordata; Aves; Apterygiformes; Apterygidae
Description: lncRNA (ENSAHAG00000002347.1)
Source: RNAcentral